CAUGCCGUAAACGAUGUCAACUAGCCGUUGGGCUCCUUGAGGGCUUAGUGGCGCAGCUAACGCGAUAAGUUGACCGCCUGGGGAGUACGGUCGCAAGACUAAAACUCAAAUGAAUUGACGGGGGCCCGCACAAGCGGUGGAGCAUGUGGUUUAAUUCGAUGCAACGCGAAAAACCUUACCCACCUUUGACAUGGUCGGAACCCUUUAGAGAUAGAGGGGUGCUCGAAAGAGAGCCGAUACACAGGUGC
RNAcentral lists this ribosomal RNA (248 nucleotides) under uncultured bacterium. Its description in RNAcentral is "partial 16S ribosomal RNA". It matches the Rfam family "Bacterial small subunit ribosomal RNA", at positions 796 to 1041 of the family's 1533-position model. The record is from RNAcentral.